AGAGGAUUGAUGACAAUAAAAGCCCCAUUGCAGUAUCUCCAUCAGCAGUUUUCUCUCUGCGUGGGUGCAUGGUAACACCCGCCCCCCCACGAAGCAAACCACUGGUCUGAUGUCAGU
Small nucleolar RNA from Jaculus jaculus (lesser Egyptian jerboa), 117 nucleotides. Lineage: Eukaryota; Metazoa; Chordata; Mammalia; Rodentia; Dipodidae. The record is from Ensembl.